RNAcentral lists this long non-coding RNA (1265 nucleotides) under Hordeum vulgare. RNAcentral describes it as "long non-coding RNA (HVUL_LNC008371)". The record is from RNAcentral. Lineage: Eukaryota; Viridiplantae; Streptophyta; Magnoliopsida; Poales; Poaceae.
ACCACCCUAUCCUCUUCGACGUUGUCGCUGAUCUAUAGCCUCUCUCUCACCUCGUCGUCCAUCAUCGCAGCCACCUCGUUUUCAAGAUCCCCUUCUCCGGUGACCUUGCACGCACCUCCGACGAUCUCGUUCCUGCCAACCGCACCAGCAGCAAACUUCUCUCCGAAUUCGUUGCUCAAUCCUCUCCAUGGAUCAAGCACAAUGGCUUCACCCCCCCCCCCUCCCUACCAUCCUCAAUUCCUCAUCUACCUCGUGCCGAACAUGCAAUCCACGAUCAACGUUGCAAAGCCACCACUACGCCGAGAUCCGAUCCCAUUAGGUGGAUGAGCCCGCGAUCUACAACACAUUUGUUGCCUCACCAACUUGCCCGAAGGUUUGAACCGUCAUCUGAUGAACCAAUUGUGGCAUCCAAUCCGAGCCUUUUCUCCUCUUUGAAAUUCCUUCUCUGAAUCAAAGGUAUUGCAUUGUGUGAAUCACCGACUGUUCCAUCAUCUAUCUCCACAUACUAAUAAUUAUCAAUUUGAUGUUUCCAUUAUCCAUGCUUCAUAUAGGCAUCAUAUAUGUGCUUGGAUAGUGCAGUUCGUUUGCAUCGAUGUACGAAAUUUGUUUGUAGAUCACAAAAUGAUUCAGGUACGCACAUGUUAAAGAUAUUCGGUGCUCGUUUCGAGUUACAAUAUUUUAUGCUUCCGCUAGGUAUGAGUUAUGUUGAGAUAAUAUGUAAUUGAUGCUUCCUAAUGUCCAUUCUUCCUAUCUCUUUUGUUUUGUAUGCUUCCUUCUGUCGAAAUAGUUGGCAGCCAUAGAAACAUACUUCUAAUCUUUUGUUAUACUUGCUCAUAUAUUGUCAAGAGCAUUGUCCGCAUUUAAACACUAUCAUCAUGCUUCAUAUAUUUCAUAUAUUUGGUGAUGUAUGCUUCAAGCAAUUGUGUGUUGGCUUUGCAGCCAAUGGGCACCACGAGAGAAAUAUGUGGAGGAUAUGUGAUGACACUUGCAUCCGCCUUACAAUGAAGGUGUCCGCACGUGCAGGGAAGCAAGUCUACAAUCUAUAGGAAACAUAUGAUGUAGGAAGGAGUGUAGGCACUAUCAUCGACUUUGAAGCGAAUAAUUUUGUAUCAUGCCUUACAUUUAGUCUAUGGAUGAGUGAAGAAGGAAACGAACUUAUGUUAUAUUGUACAUAAAUUGUUUUUACCAUGGAAACACAUUAUAUUGGAUGGAGGAAACUUUUUUUUGCUCUGGGAAGCAAAGGUUUUCUUGUGUUUGGAACCAAA